RNAcentral lists this ribosomal RNA (791 nucleotides) under uncultured bacterium. Its description in RNAcentral is "bacterial SSU rRNA". It matches the Rfam family "Bacterial small subunit ribosomal RNA", at positions 8 to 796 of the family's 1533-position model. The record is from RNAcentral.
AGAGUUUGAUCCUGGCUCAGAUUGAACGCUGGCGGCAGGCCUAACACAUGCAAGUCGAGCGGAUGAAGGGAGCUUGCUCCUGGAUUCAGCGGCGGACGGGUGAGUAAUGCCUAGGAAUCUGCCUGGUAGUGGGGGACAACGUUUCGAAAGGAACGCUAAUACCGCAUACGUCCUACGGGAGAAAGCAGGGGACCUUCGGGCCUUGCGCUAUCAGAUGAGCCUAGGUCGGAUUAGCUAGUUGGUGAGGUAAUGGCUCACCAAGGCGACGAUCCGUAACUGGUCUGAGAGGAUGAUCAGUCACACUGGAACUGAGACACGGUCCAGACUCCUACGGGAGGCAGCAGUGGGGAAUAUUGGACAAUGGGCGAAAGCCUGAUCCAGCCAUGCCGCGUGUGUGAAGAAGGUCUUCGGAUUGUAAAGCACUUUAAGUUGGGAGGAAGGGUUGUAGAUUAAUACUCUGCAAUUUUGACGUUACCGACAGAAUAAGCACCGGCUAACUCUGUGCCAGCAGCCGCGGUAAUACAGAGGGUGCAAGCGUUAAUCGGAAUUACUGGGCGUAAAGCGCGCGUAGGUGGUUCGUUAAGUUGGAUGUGAAAUCCCCGGGCUCAACCUGGGAACUGCAUUCAAAACUGUCGAGCUAGAGUAUGGUAGAGGGUGGUGGAAUUUCCUGUAGCGGUGAAAUGCGUAGAUAUAGGAAGGAACACCAGUGGCGAAGGCGACCACCUGGACUGAUACUGACACUGAGGUGCGAAAGCGUGGGGAGCAAACAGGAUUAGAUACCCUAGUAGUCC